CGUAGGUAACCUGCCUGGUAGCGGGGGGUAACUAUUGGAAACGAUAGCUAAUACCGCAUAACAUUGACUAUUGCAUGAUAGUCAAUUGAAAGGUGCAAAUGCACCACUACCAGAUGGACCUGCGUUGUAUUAGCUAGUUGGUGGGGUAACGGCUCACCAAGGCGACGAUACAUAGCCGACCUGAGAGGGUGAUCGGCCACACUGGGACUGAGACACGGCCCAG
RNAcentral lists this ribosomal RNA (223 nucleotides) under uncultured bacterium. RNAcentral's name for it is "partial 16S ribosomal RNA". It matches the Rfam family "Bacterial small subunit ribosomal RNA", at positions 116 to 334 of the family's 1533-position model. The record is from RNAcentral.